This 395-nucleotide ribosomal RNA is filed under the name uncultured bacterium. RNAcentral describes it as "bacterial SSU rRNA". It matches the Rfam family "Bacterial small subunit ribosomal RNA", at positions 357 to 769 of the family's 1533-position model. The record is from RNAcentral.
GGGAAUAUUGGUAAUGUGCGAAAGCGCGUACCAGCAACGCCGCGUGCACGAUGAAGGCCUUCGGGUCGUAAAGUGCUUUUAGAGAGGAUGAGGACGGACAGUACUUUCUGAAUAAGCCUUGGCUAACUACGUGCCAGCAGCCGCGGUAAAACGUAGGAGGCAAGCGUUAUCCGGAUUUACUGGGCGUAAAGCGCAUGCAGGUGGUUUUGUAAGUUGGAUGUGAAAGCUCCUGGCUUAACUGGGAGAGGUCGUUCAAAACUACAAGACUUGAGAUUGGUAGAGAAAAAUGGAAUUCCGGGUGUAGUGGUGAAAUGCGUAGAUAUCCGGAGGAACACCAGUGGCGAAAGCGGUUUUCUGGACCAAUUCUGACACUCAGAUGCGAAAGCUAAGGUAGC